Molecule: ribosomal RNA, 135 nt
Filed under: Petromyzon marinus (sea lamprey)
Lineage: Eukaryota; Metazoa; Chordata; Hyperoartia; Petromyzontiformes; Petromyzontidae
Source: RNAcentral
GUUUAUAGCCGACCUGACAGUGGCAAACUCACCUCAAAUGUGUGCCGAUGUCAUCAGAUCUCAAAAGCAAAGCACAGUUGAGCCUGGCUCGUACUUGGAUGGGUAACCAAUGGGAUCUUCCAGGUGUUGUAGACA